UUGCACAAUGCACAUCCCCAGGCUUCUCUGAAUGAGUAAUCAAUCGAUGACGAUGAAAGCCCCAUUGCUCUUGCCAAAACAGGCCGAUGCCAAGUGUUGCAGUUCAGCCAUUCUCAAGCUGAGCUGUGUCAAAUCGAUGCCCACAUCU
This is a small nucleolar RNA of Juglans microcarpa x Juglans regia, 148 nucleotides long. RefSeq annotates it as small nucleolar RNA snoR134. The transcript has a single exon. The record is from RefSeq and is a predicted model, not a curated record. NCBI's taxonomy places the organism in Eukaryota, Viridiplantae, Streptophyta, Magnoliopsida, Fagales, Juglandaceae.